GCCUUUGUGGUGUAGUGGUCAGCACGCUGGAAUAGUAUUCGAGAGGUCCGUGGUUCAAGUUCCGGUGAGGGCA
Molecule: transfer RNA, 73 nt
Filed under: Stegodyphus mimosarum
Lineage: Eukaryota; Metazoa; Arthropoda; Arachnida; Araneae; Eresidae
Rfam family: tRNA
About the family: Transfer RNA (tRNA) molecules are approximately 80 nucleotides in length.
Source: Rfam by way of RNAcentral